Molecule: ribosomal RNA, 434 nt
Filed under: uncultured Oscillospiraceae bacterium
Lineage: Bacteria; Bacillati; Bacillota; Clostridia; Eubacteriales; Oscillospiraceae
Description: partial 16S ribosomal RNA
Rfam family: Bacterial small subunit ribosomal RNA
Source: RNAcentral
ACGGAAGGCAGCAGUGGGGAAUAUUGGGCAAUGGGGGAAACCCUGACCCAGCAACGCCGCGUGAAGGAAGAAGGCCUUCGGGUUGUAAACUUCUUUUACCAGGGACGAUAAUGACGGUACCUGGAGAAAAAGCAACGGCUAACUACGUGCCAGCAGCCGCGGUAAUACGUAGGUUGCAAGCGUUGUCCGGAUUUACUGGGUGUAAAGGGCGUGUAGGCGGAGCUGCAAGUCAGAUGUGAAAUCCCGGGGCUCAACCCCGGAACUGCAUUUGAAACUGUAGCCCUUGAGUAUCGGAGAGGCAAGCGGAAUUCCUAGUGUAGCGGUGAAAUGCGUAGAUAUUAGGGGGAACACCAGUGACGAAGGCGGCUUGCUGGACGACAACUGACGCUGAGGCGCGAAAGCGUGGGGAGCAAACAGGAUUAGAUACCCUGGUA